AGAAGUAUGUUUGUUUAGCAGAGAUGUUCUGACAGGCUCAAUUAACUUGCAAUAAAAGGAACAAAGGAAAGUCAUUAUUGCCAACUCAUGGCUAUUUAAAGCUAUCCUGAUUUGGUAUGAGGAGAAGGGAGUAGUUUAAAGGAGUCCUUACCAAUUAAUUCUAUUUUAAUAUUAGAUCUUUACAGUAUUAAUAUUAUGUAGCAAUAAUUUAUUGAAUGGAAAUUUAAAGUACAGGACAAUCAAAACAGUAGUUUAGCAAAUAUCAGAAAAAAGAAAAGAAAAGAGAACAUCUGCAUUCAAUUUUGCUCAAGGGUCUGAUGAAGGAAAGACUAUCUAGAGAUCACAGGGUUUUAAGAAGGGUGAAUUUCAUGGCAUGUGGAUGUUUUCUGACUUUGGAUGUGGAAAAGAAAGUUUAGGGAAUUAACUCACAGGAAUACUAGGAAGAUAUAUCUUGAGUUAACCAAUAAAGUAUUUUAUUUCUCCUGGCCUUUUAUCCACUCAACCACCCAUUAUUUAUUACUGAACAAAAGAUUCCGUUUUUAUCAGGAGGCUUUAACGAGAUUGACUUGGAAAUUUCUUUGAUACAAUCUCUGUUGCCUUUCUUAAUAACAAAAUAACUCAUGACACAUGGGAUAUGUAGCUGUUUGGAGAACUGAAUGUUCGUUGAAUGACAGGUUUUGCACUCAAGAAGCUGCAAAGUGCAACUGACAUGUUUGUCAGAUCCCUAGAGGCUUGUCUACUACUCUUACAAGCAACAAAAAUAUUGACUUUUACUGCUCCCAUAAUAACAGGAAUUUGUCUUUUUAGGAUGGCACAUUUCUGGUCAGAGACAGCUCUAAAAAAACAACAACCAAUCCAUAUGUCCUCAUGGUGUUGUACAAAGAUAAAGUUUACAACAUCCAGAUCCGUUAUCAGAAGGAAAGUCAAGUUUACUUGUUGGGAACUGGACUCCGAGGGAAAGAGGACUUUCUGUCUGUGUCAGAUAUUAUUGACUACUUCAGGAAAAUGCCACUUCUGCUCAUUGAUGGGAAAAACCGAGGUUCCAGAUACCAGUGCACAUUAACGCAUGCUGCAGGGUACCCAUAGCAAGUUAUAGCCGAGCAAAUGAACCGUCCUCCUGCCUCUGUUGCCAACACGAGAUCAAUCAGCCUUGGUCAAUGGACAAACACUUAGGACUGAACUGAACCCCUCCCCAUGAACACAAGGGUUUUAUCCUUUCCUUUAAAAACAGUGUUUGAAAUGAAGACUGUCAACUAUCCCAUAAUUUAUUUAUUCUUCUUCAAUGUUUGUAAAGUGCAUGAGUCAUGUUCACACUUGAAGUCUAGUAGUGCACUGUAAUAAUUCAUUUUUUAAAAGAUUAUUUAAUGCCCAUUUCAAAAUACAGUAGUUUACACAGCUACAGAAACAAUUUGGGGCAAGUUUUAAAACACUGAAACAGUAAUAGUUAUUGGUGUCACAUAAAACUGAUUUGUUUUUUACAGCCAAACCUCUGUCAGUCAGAGGCAUUCAUUAGUUUUAUACAUGUAAUUUGAAAAUCACUAAACCUCGUUUUCUCAGCAGCAAUAAUUUAAGAGGCUUCAAAAAUAUAAUUUCACUCUUAUUUAGUAUUUUUUCCUGGGGGCAUUUUUACGUAAUUUUUUUAUGAAAAGACAAAUGCAUGUUGAGAUAACUUCUGGGAUUAAAAUAGUCUUUUGCUUUACUUUUUUGGUUUCCUAAAACAACUUUAUUGACUUUUAGUCCAUACUGUUAUAUUUUUGUCUUAAAGAAAAUUUAAACUACAAAUACCAAAAGAAAACAUUUUAAAUUUAGGGAUGAGACUUUGGUGUAUCGUGGGUCUAGGUUUAAUGAACACAUCUGGGGUUAAGUUGGCAUUUCUUCACAUCUCCACACCCACACCAACCAUCACAGCCCCCCACCAACCUUCUCCCAACCCCAAAAGCAUUGUCCAGGGAUAUAGAUUUUACCAAAGGCUUCCUGGGAAGACGAGGGAGCAACACUUUAGAUUAAAUGUGAUCAGACUUUCCUAUUAGAUAUGGCUCUUCUGUCUCUUGUUAUCCCCCUGACAGCUCUGCCAUAAAGUCCCUUCUCCUCAUCCUUCCCAAACAGGCUGUAUAAGUGCUUUGAGGUAAUUAAACUCUUUCCUCCAGUUUACAAAUAUCACUUAACAAAAAAUAUAGGCAUUCAGCCAGAUUAAAAAACUGGUAUUCAGCC
Molecule: long non-coding RNA, 2211 nt
Filed under: Homo sapiens (human)
Lineage: Eukaryota; Metazoa; Chordata; Mammalia; Primates; Hominidae
Description: non-protein coding lnc-KCNMB1-5:1
Source: RNAcentral